CUCGUAGGUGGCCAACUAAGUCAGACGUGAAAUCCCUCGGCUUAACCGGGGAACUGCGUCUGAUACUGGAUGGCUUGAGUUUGGGAGAGGGACGCGGAAUUCCAGGUGUAGCGGUGAAAUGCGUAGAUAUCUGGAGGAGCACCGGUGGCGAAGGCGGCGUCCUGGACCAACACUGACACUGAUGAGCGAAAGCCAGGGAGCAAACG
This 206-nucleotide ribosomal RNA is filed under the name uncultured bacterium. RNAcentral's name for it is "partial 16S ribosomal RNA". It matches the Rfam family "Bacterial small subunit ribosomal RNA", at positions 568 to 774 of the family's 1533-position model. The record is from RNAcentral.